Molecule: non-coding RNA, 170 nt
Filed under: Giardia duodenalis ATCC 50581
Lineage: Eukaryota; Fornicata; Diplomonadida; Hexamitidae
Source: RNAcentral
GGGGGGCGAAGCAGCCGCGGCCUCUGGCUUGGACCCCGUGGCGCUGUCGGCCCCCGCGGAGGCAGGGGUUGGCUCGUCUUCAACUCAGCUGGACAGCCGGAGGCCGGAGACGGAGCACGGUCAGGCGGGCGGGGUGCAGUGCCAGCCUCAGUCGCAGAGCGGCUUCCUUU